AUUGAACGCUGGCGGCAUGCUUUACACAUGCAAGUCGAACGGUAGGGUAGCAAUACCUGAGAGUGGCGAACGGGUGAGUAAUGCAUCGGAACAUGCCUAUUAGUGGGGGGAUAGCCCGGCGAAAGCCGGAUUAAUACCGCAUACGAUCUAAGGAUGAAAGCAGGGGACCGCAAGGCCUUGCGCUAAUGGAGUGGCCGAUGUCAGAUUAGCUAGUUGGUGGGGUAAAGGCUCACCAAGGCGUCGAUCUGUAGCUGGUUUGAGAGAACGACCAGCCACACUGGGACUGAGACACGGCCCAGACUCCUACGGGAGGCAGCAGUGGGGAAUUUUGGACAAUGGGCGCAAGCCUGAUCCAGCAAUGCCGCGUGCAGGAUGAAGGCCUUCGGGUUGG
Molecule: ribosomal RNA, 391 nt
Filed under: uncultured bacterium
Lineage: Bacteria
Description: bacterial SSU rRNA
Rfam family: Bacterial small subunit ribosomal RNA
Source: RNAcentral